This 361-nucleotide ribosomal RNA is filed under the name uncultured bacterium. RNAcentral's name for it is "bacterial SSU rRNA". It matches the Rfam family "Bacterial small subunit ribosomal RNA", at positions 29 to 414 of the family's 1533-position model. The record is from RNAcentral.
AGCGAACGCUGGCGGCAGGCUUAACACAUGCAAGUCGAACGGGCGUAGCAAUACGUCAGUGGCAGACGGGUGAGUAACGCGUGGGAACGUACCUUUUGGUUCGGAACAACACAGGGAAACUUGUGCUAAUACCGGAUAAGCCCUUACGGGGAAAGAUUUAUCGCCGAAAGAUCGGCCCGCGUCUGAUUAGCUAGUUGGUGAGGUAACGGCUCACCAAGGCGACGAUUCAGUAGCUGGUCUGAGAGGAUGAUCAGCCACAUUGGGACUGAGACACGGCCCAAACUCCUACGGGAGGCAGCAGUGGGGAAUAUUGGACAAUGGGCGAAAGCCUGAUCCAGCCAUGCCGCGUGAGUGAUGAAGG